This 26-nucleotide non-coding RNA is filed under the name Mus musculus (house mouse). The record is from RNAcentral. Lineage: Eukaryota; Metazoa; Chordata; Mammalia; Rodentia; Muridae.
GAUUUGGAUAUUCGGACCGCCGCCUU